GUGUUAAAGGUUGUGUGUGUUAUAAGUGUGUGUUAAAGGUUGUGUGUGUUAAAGUGUGUGUGUUAUAGGUUGUGUGUGUUAAAGUGCGUGUUAAAGGUUGUGUGUGUUAAAGGUUGUGUGUGUUAAAGGUUAGGGGUUAAAGGUUGUGUGUGUUAUAGGUUGUGUGUGUUAUAGGUUGUGUGUGUUAAAGGUUGUGUGUUAAAGGUUGUGUGUGUUAAAGGUUGUGUGUUAAAGGUUGUGUGUGUUAAAGGUUGUGUGUGUUAAAGGUUGUGUGUGUUAAAGGUGUGUGUUAUAAGUGUGUGUUAAAGGUUGUGUGUGUUAAAGGUUGUGUGUGUUAAAGGUUGUGUGUUAAAGGUUGUGUGUUAAAGGUUGUGUGUGUUAAAGGUUGUGUGUGUUAAAGGUUGUGUGUUAAAGGUUGUGUGUGUUAAAGGUUGUGUGUGUUAAAGGUUGUGUGUGUUAUAAGUGUGUGUUAAAGGUUGUGUGUGUUAAAGGUUGUGUGUGUUAAAGGUUGUGUGUGUUAUAAGUGUGUGUUAAAGGUUGUGUGUGUUAAAGGUUGUGUGUGUUAAAGGUUGUGUGUGUUAUAAGUGUGUGUUAAAGGUUGUGUGUGUUAUAAGUGUGUGUUAAAGGUUGUGUGUGUUAAAGGUUGUGUGUUAAAGGUUGUGUGUUAAAGGUUGUGUGUGUUAAAGGUUGAGUGUGUUAAAGGUUGUGUGUUAAAGGUUGUGUGUGUUAAAGGUUGUGUGUGUUAAAGGUUGUGUGUGUUAAAGGUUGUGUGUGUUAUAAGUGUGUGUUAAAGGUUGUGUGUGUUAAAGGUUGUGUGUGUUAAAGGUUGUGUGUGUUAAAGGUUGUGUGUGUUAAAGGUUGUGUGUGUUAUAAGUGUGUGUUAAAGGUUGUGUGUGUUAAAGGUUGUGUGUGUUAAAGUGUGUGUGUUAAAGGUUGUGUGUGUUAAAGCUUGUGUGUGUUAAAGGUUGUGUGUGUUAAAGGUUGUGUGUGUUAUAAGUGAGUGUUAAAGGUUGUGUGUGUUAUAAGUGUGUGUUAAAGGUUGUGUGUGUUAAAGUGUGUGUGUUAAAGGUUGUGUGUGUUAAAGGUUGUGUGUUAAAGGUUGUGUGUGUUAUAAGUGUGUGUUAAAGGUUGUGUGUGUUAAAGUGUGUGUGUUAAAGGUUGUGUGUGUUAACGGUUGUGUGUGUUAAAGGUUGUGUGUGUUAAAGGUUGUGUGUGUUAUAAGUGUGUGUUAUAAGUGUGUGUUAUAAGUGUGUGUUAAAGGUUGU
Molecule: long non-coding RNA, 1265 nt
Organism: Oncorhynchus keta (chum salmon)
Lineage: Eukaryota; Metazoa; Chordata; Actinopteri; Salmoniformes; Salmonidae
Exons: 3
Source: RefSeq, a predicted model, not a curated record